This is a long non-coding RNA of Dalotia coriaria, 654 nucleotides long. RefSeq lists it as uncharacterized. The record is from RefSeq and is a predicted model, not a curated record. The transcript has 2 exons. NCBI's taxonomy places the organism in Eukaryota, Metazoa, Arthropoda, Insecta, Coleoptera, Staphylinidae.
CGUCCAUUUUUAGCGCGCGCGCGUGUAUUGAACACUAAACCAAUACUGCGAACCGAAACUAUUACACGGCGUGAGUGUGGAAGGUCAGCGGGAAUAUAAACUCUACAAACACACAGCUGUAAUUGGAAAUGCGAUUAUUAUGUAAUUAAAUUUUAUGCGAAGAGGUUUUGAGGUUAUUUGUGGGUUGUAUGGGUAUGGUAAGAGUAGAUAAUGUGUCGUAACUGAGGAGCGGGAGUGUUUGGAAGAGCGUCGGAGCUCGGCGAUGGCUACCGACUGACUGGAUAGAGUGGAAAGCGAAAAGAGUAUCAGGGGAUGUUGGCCGAGGGGAUACUACCCUUGAACCCCGCAGUGGCGUUGGCGUCGGGGACGGGAAUAGUGGGAAUGUACGCGUUGCCUUCUCUGCGAAUGGUUUCACGUUCAAUUCGUAGGAAUAUUGCAAAGUUUGAAGUUUUAGGGGACAUAAUACUCGUAGGUAACCUUAAAUUACUUUUGGAGAGAAAAAAUAUUGUUUUUUGGACAGGUUUCAUCAAUUUUAAGUUGAAUUGCGUUAAAAUUCGUGAUUUUACGUUAAAAAUGUCAUUUUUUGUCAUAAUUUCUAAAGUAAUACUCAUACUUUUAUCAAAUUUGUACUAAAAUAUAAAGAAUUAAUAACUU